UACGGAGGAUGCGAGCGUUAUCCGGAUUUAUUGGGUUUAAAGGGUGCGCAGGCGGGAUGCCAAGUCAGCGGUAAAAAUGCGGUGCUCAACGCCGUCGAGCCGUUGAAACUGGCGUCCUUGAGUGGGCGAGAAGUAUGCGGAAUGCGUGGUGUAGCGGUGAAAUGCAUAGAUAUCACGCAGAACUCCGAUUGCGAAGGCAGCAUACCGGCGCCCUACUGACGCUGAGGCACGAAAGCGUGGGUAUCGAACAGG
This 252-nucleotide ribosomal RNA is filed under the name uncultured bacterium. RNAcentral describes it as "partial 16S ribosomal RNA". It matches the Rfam family "Bacterial small subunit ribosomal RNA", at positions 524 to 776 of the family's 1533-position model. The record is from RNAcentral.